Non-coding RNA from Arachis ipaensis, 1976 nucleotides. NCBI's taxonomy places the organism in Eukaryota, Viridiplantae, Streptophyta, Magnoliopsida, Fabales, Fabaceae. The record is from RefSeq and is a predicted model, not a curated record.
UAAAUGCUCCCCAAACAAGCCCUUACUUCAGGGCAACAAAAAUGUAAAUUAGAUUCACGCUUCUCUCUUCAUUUUUUAGUCUCAGUUAUUAUCUCUCUGAAAUCCAGAAUUGUAGAGUUGUUGUUCUAGUGUUGGCUGGUUGUCCAGAUGAAUGAUUUGCGUCUCUCGGUUUUUUCUCUGUUCAACCUACUCAUCAUAUCCGUUUCUUUCCCUCGCAUCUUUCGCGAUGCAUAUCUUCUCUUCUUCGCAACCACCUCUUAUUCGCCCUUUUACUCCGCGCCUCUUGAACAGUUAAUCGAAAACAGAAUCCUACAUCUUGCUAAAAUCAUGCGUAAAGAAAAAGGAAACAUGUUUUAAUAGCUAUGCUGAGUUCAACUGCUUCUUAAACUUCAUGUCUUCUUGCGGAAGGGAAAAAUAGUCGGCCAAGGUAGAAGAAUAAUGGAGACCCUCGGUAGACAGAUGGGACUUUAGACAAAUGGACUACUUGGUGAAGGAGAAUGCUUUGCUUUCCAACACUGUCAGAAGCUCAGUAAAGAUGUCUCUGUGAUCAUAUAUAAUUGCAAAGCAGAUAGAACAAUAGACAUAAGAGGAGCAUACUUUGUUUCUAGAGCCCUAAUGCUAUAUGGGCAAGAAUGGCAGUGCAUGGUAGCCUUACAAGAAGUUAUGUUUGGUGUUCCUCAUAAGUUCUGCACAAUGCACAUAUGGAGGAAUUUGACUAAGCAAUGAAAGGAUAAAGAAUUGAAAGGCACAAUGUGUCAAUGUGCAAGGGCAUUGAUGAAUCAAGAAUUCAAUAGUGCAACGGCUAAUAUGAGAAGGAUCAAUCCAGCAGCAUAGGAGUGUUUGAAUAAGUUUGAGCAACCAUCAUGGUCAAGGUCCGGACUCUCUGAUUGGUGCAAGGUAGUUACCAACAAAUGUGGGCCUUUCAAUGCAACAAUAAUUGGUAUGAGAGGUGAAGGUAUCCUGACUAUGCUAGAAGAUAUGAGAUAUUAUAUCACGAGAGUGAUGACAUUGCACAAGGAUGAUCUUAUAGCAUACAUAGGAAAUUUGACACCUAUCCAAUUGAGUUGGUUAGAGAAAGAGAAAAAAGAAGGUAAUUAUCAGGAGGCACAAUGGGAUGAAGAUGAUUAUCAUAACAUGUUUGAGAUUAAGAGAGCUAGAUACAAGGUUGUAAAAAAUGGCAACUAACUGGACUUUCUUGCGUGCUGCCACAGAGUUGCUGCAAUCUAGAGGAAGAAUGGAAGACAAGAGAAUUAUAUGCAUCACUGACUACUUAUAGAAUCCUAUAAUUGGGAAUACCAAUUUCACAUCAACUCCGUUCCAAGUGAGAAAUAUUAGAAACAACAUGAGGGACAUCUAGUGCUACCUCCACCAUAAAAAGACCGUUAGGCAGGGAACUAAGAAAUAAAAACGUGACGAGUCCGAGCGUGAUAGUGGCAGCCAGUACAAUACAAGGAGAAAGUAUGGCCAAACCACUUGCAAGUGGUGCAAGAAGGUAAUUGUAGUGAUGUUUAUUUCUUAGCAUAUGUAUGUUGUUUACUAAACCCAUGGAUGUUAUUCUCUGUUGUAAAUGAUACUUGUAGGAAGGUUAUCAUUCAAGUACAUGUAUGGAGAAAAAGAAAGCCCAAGCUGGAAUUUCCAUUUGCCACAUCAUUCUUUUUUAUUAACCUUCAACAUUGUAGUUUAUGUUUGUGCAUUUUUGUUAAAAAUUUAAAUUAUUUGAGGAUAAUUUUUUCAAUAACAAAAUUCGGGUACAGUUUAUCAGCGACAAAAUUAUUCAAUUGUAUUUUUUUGUGGUAACAUCCAUCUAACAAAAUGGAAGGUAGAAUAGCAACUUUUGAAGCUACAAAUGUAACACUCUACCACACAGAGCCUUACGCUUAAGUCGUAAAGCAGAGGUGGUGAGGUAUUACGACCUCUAAAAGUAAAAUACGUACAAAAAUUUAGUUGAAAAAAAUCAUAUCUAGAAGUCUUGAAGA